GACGAACGCUGGCGGCGUGCUUAACACAUGCAAGUCGAACGGAAAGGCCCUGCUUUUGUGGGGUGCUCGAGUGGCGAACGGGUGAGUAACACGUGAGUAACCUGCCCUUGACUUUGGGAUAACUUCAGGAAACUGGGGCUAAUACCGGAUAGGAGCUCCUGCUGCAUGGUGGGGGUUGGAAAGUUUCGGCGGUUGGGGAUGGACUCGCGGCUUAUCAGCUUGUUGGUGGGGUAGUGGCUUACCAAGGCUUUGACGGGUAGCCGGCCUGAGAGGGUGACCGGCCACAUUGGGACUGAGAUACGGCCCAGACUCCUACGGGAGGCAGCAGUGGGGAAUAUUGCACAAUGGGCGGAAGCCUGAUGCAGCAACGCCGCGUGCGGGAUGACGGCCUUCGGGUUGUAAACCGCUUCCGCCUGUGACGAAGCGUGAGUGACGGUAAUGGGUAAAGAAGCACCGGCUAACUACGUG
Molecule: ribosomal RNA, 468 nt
Filed under: uncultured bacterium
Lineage: Bacteria
Description: partial 16S ribosomal RNA
Rfam family: Bacterial small subunit ribosomal RNA
Source: RNAcentral